Brienomyrus brachyistius is the source of this 1492-nucleotide long non-coding RNA. RefSeq lists it as uncharacterized. The record is from RefSeq and is a predicted model, not a curated record. The transcript has 3 exons. Lineage: Eukaryota; Metazoa; Chordata; Actinopteri; Osteoglossiformes; Mormyridae.
CCUCGAAGGGGUCAUCUCUUUUAGUGCGGCAGUAAAGGGUGUUGCCCCAAUGUGAUUUGUACAGCUGGUUGAACUGCUGUGGAUGUUUGUCAUGCUCUUCCAUGGCAUUCCAGGCUUCAAGCACCCUGUUCCGCUGCUCUGUGCUAAGUGACAGCUUGUCGUCUACCAAGCCAAUCUCCACCAGCACAGAGCAGAACCUUUCCAGCUUUUGAAAGCCAGGAAGAGGAUUUUGGCUGCAGGCGUCCUCCUUUAAAAAAACAAAAGACAUACGAAUGUGGAUAACCAGAACAGAGAAAGCCGGAUCCAGGGAUGCAAGCCGAGAGGCGCUCUAUCAAUGAAAACCGAGCUGAGGCACCAGAAGGAAUAGGCGAGAGACAAGGUUGAAAAACAGGCAGGGAAGUCGUAAGCCGGGGGGUCAGUCCUACAAGGAGGCGCGGGACAGGAAUACACAAGGGCACAGGCACGGGAACGAGACGAGCCGGAGCAGGCAGGGUAGAGGGGUCAGGUGCGGGAACGGGUCUGGAACGGGAUAGAGAGAGGGGUAAGGAGAGGACACGAGGCAAACAGGCAGGGUCUGGUAGCAGGGAGAGACAAUCGACAAGAAAGUGCUUAGCAAGGCUUCUAAUCAUCAGCGCAAUACUUCGCACUGGGCUGGUGACUUCUGGCUGGCUUUAUACCUAGGCUCAGUACACUGAAUGAGCCUCUGCUGGUGGUGUCCGCCUGUGGGGGCAUAACAGUACCCCCCCCCUGACGGCUGCCUCCCGGAGGCCGAAGACGCUUGCGGGGCCGACCCCGAGGGCGCGGAGCAGGGCGGGAGGGGUGAGACUGGUGAAAGGCGGUCUUGAGGUCUGGGUCGUCAAUCGCGCUGGCCGGCAACCAGCUACUGUCCUCCCGGGAUUCCCCCUCCCAGUGGACCAGAUACUGGAGUUGACCCUUCUGGCGGCAAGAAUCCAGGAUGGAGCGGACUCGUGGGGCCGGGUCCACCUCAGGCACGUCCUCUGGGGAGUCGUCCAGCGGAGGGACAUCGGGCCGUAGGGAACUGAACUUCACCGCUUUCAGCAGUGAGGCAUGAAAGGUAGGGCAGAUGCGAUAGACUUUAGGGAGUUGUAAACGAUAAGCCACGGGUCCCACUCGCCUCAGGAUACGGAAGGGUCCGAGGAACCGCGCGGUCAACUUCUUACACCCUGGGAGACGUAGAUUCCGUGUCGACAGCCACACCAACUGACCUACCCGAUAAGUGGGUCCCGCCGGAUGGAUAGACAGUGGAAGUUUCAUCGCUGGUGAGUGUGAUGUGGGAGAGGACAGCAUCCGGAACAUCGUCCUGUAGCUCCACAUUGCUCUCGUACGCCUCGUCUGGAUCGGGCUGCCCGGGCUGAACCACCUCCUCCUCCGGACCAGCUCGUCGGAAGGGACAUCAGCAGGGGUCCGGAAAUUCUCUUCCACAGUCUCACCAAACAGCUGCUGACAGCGGGUGUUGAGGCGGUCGAUCAGC